GUAUUUGAGUCGUGAAUUUUUUAUGUGGUGCUGCAGGCGCGAGAACUUUACAAUACCGGCAACAGUGAUAAGGGGACCUCGAGUGCCAGGUUACAAAUCUGGCUGUCGUGAUGCCUAAAAAGCAUUGCAUAGCAAGGGCCGGGCAAGACCGGUGCCAGCCGCCGCGGUAACACCGGCGGCUCGAGUGGUAACCGUUAUUAUUGGGUCUAAAGGGUCUGUAGCCGGCCGGAUAAGUCUCUUGGGAAAUCUGGCAGCUUAACUGUCAGGCUUUCAGGAGAUACUGUCUGGCUCGAGGCCGGGAGAGGUGAGAGGUACUUCAGGGGUAGGGGUGAAAUCUUGUAAUCCUUGAAGGACCACCAGUGGCGAAGGCGUCUCACCAGAACGGACCUGACGGCAAGGGACGAAAGCUAGGGGCACGAACCGGAUUAGAUACCCGGGUAGUCCUAGCUGUAAAGGGAUACUGCUUGCUUGUAUGGCCUAGGACUGGCAUGGGCUCGCUGGAAUGGCUGCGGAGCACAGCACU
Molecule: ribosomal RNA, 523 nt
Filed under: uncultured euryarchaeote
Lineage: Archaea; Methanobacteriati; Methanobacteriota
Description: bacterial SSU rRNA
Rfam family: Archaeal small subunit ribosomal RNA
Source: RNAcentral